CGAAAGUUAGAGGGUCGAAGGCGAUCAGAUACCGCCCUAGUUCUAACCAUAAACGAUGCCAGCCAGCGAUCCGGCUGUGUUCCUCAAAUGACACGCCGGGCAGCUUCCGGGAAACCAAAGCUUUUGGGUUCCGGGGGAAGUAUGGUUGCAAAGCUGAAACUUAAAGGAAUUGACGGAGGGGCACCACCAGACGUGGAUGUUGCGGUUCAAUUUGACUCAACGCAGCAAAUCCUACCAGGCCAGGACACAGGAAGGAUUGACAGAUUGAGAGCUCUUUCUUGAUUCUGUGGGUGGUGGUGCAUGGCCGUUCCUGGUUCGUGGAGCGAUUUGUCUUGUUUAUUCUGAUAACGGACGAGAUUCUAGCCUACUAAAUAGACGCUUCGAUCCUUCGAGUCGAGCGUUCUUCUUAGAGGGACAGGCGGUGUUUAGCCGCACGAGGCAGAGCAAUAACAGGUCUGUAAUGCCCUUAGAUGUCCUGGGCCACACGCGUCCUACAUUGAAGGAAUCAACGUGUGCUUUCCCUGUCCGAAGGGACUGGGUAACCCGUUGAACCUCCUUCGUGCUGGGGAUAGGAAAUUGUAAUUAUUUUCCUUGAACGAGGAACUUCUAGUAAGCGCGAGUCAUCAUCUCGGGUUGAUUAGGUCCCUGCCCCUUGUCCACACCGCCCGUCGCUAUUACCGAUUGAAUGAUUUAGUGAGGUCUUCGGACUGGCGCUCGGAUUGGCCUUCGGGUCGAGCCGGCGUGCCGGAAAGAUGACCGAACUUGACCAUUUAGAGGAAAUAAAAGUCGUAACAAGG
This 797-nucleotide ribosomal RNA is filed under the name Mughiphantes sp. 2 LT-2015. RNAcentral describes it as "SSU rRNA". It matches the Rfam family "Eukaryotic small subunit ribosomal RNA", at positions 984 to 1799 of the family's 1831-position model. Lineage: Eukaryota; Metazoa; Arthropoda; Arachnida; Araneae; Linyphiidae. The record is from RNAcentral.